UUAAAGCUCCUUCUGGGGAGUCAAAGAAAUUACAGAGGAACUCUCGAGUCUGAAAGGCUUCCCUGGGUCCUCUGUUACCCCCCAUGUGUCUGACACUUUGCAGACCAUGUUCUCCAUCCCUUUGACCCUCUACCAUAUCUCUGUUCUUAGGCUUGAUCAGAUAAUUAUGUAGCACACAUGCUGCCAUGACUACCAUGUCUAUAUGACACGGCAGCAUGGAUAUUCUUGACAAAAAAAACCUCCAUCUGGCCGCAAGAAUGCCAAAGGCACACUCCACUGUCAUGCGAGCUCUUGACAGCCUGUAGUUAAAGUGACUAUUAUGCCUUGACAGGUUGCUGCCAGGGUAGGGUCGCAUCAGGUACCGCUUCAAGGGAAACGCAGCAUCACCUACCAUCAUGUAUGGCACGUCACCUUGCUGACCAUAACCUGGCAGGGGGGUGUCUUCUGGCACAUUCAAAGUCUUUUCACUCAUUCCCCUCCCCAGUGCUGAAUGAGCGAACACCCCACCAUCACUUGCACGGCCAAAAUCGCCAACUUGUAUGAUUAUACAUUUUUGAGUCCGCAUCCACCAGGGCCAACAAGAUUAUUGAAAAUGUUUUUUUAUAAUUAAAAAACUGGCUGCAUGAUUUUUUGGGUGCUUGAAUUUGAAUGUGCUUCCCGUCGAUGGCCCCAAUGCAAUUUGGAAACUGCCAUCUUCUCCAAAAGCGCUCUGCGAUAGCUGUCCAUGAUUCCUCCGUUGGUUUCGGCAUUUGGGUCUCCAUCAUGUGAUCGACAACUGCCCUACAGGUCAUGUGAACGGAGUCUGCCACUGUUUUUCUGCCCAGCCUGUAGGCAAGAGCCAGACUCCUGAAAGACUCUCCGGUGGCAAGGAAUCUGUAGGAAAAUAUAUAAUUUGUUAACUGGUGUACAACAUACAUGAGUUAUUGUUACUUUAAAGAAAAAAAUCUGUUAUUCAAUUAUCUGGCAAUUUAUGUCAACAGUUGUGAAGUGCCAAGGUCGCUGGAGGACCUAAGGGACCAAUUUUCCAAAAACAAAACAAAAGGAGUGGAAAUACACCCAAGCCCUGUCUUUUCUUAUUCCCCACCUUCAACCCAGGAGCUCUAGAAGCAACCUAGACCAAGUUGAAGAUUGGGAGGCAUUGGACCUGAGCCAUGGAGAGGAUGUGCGGGAGGAGAAUGACCAUCAACCAGAUCAGCAUUCUCAACCUGGUUCUUCAACCAACAGGCCCUACAGCAGACCUGCUGCACGAAAGAGGGCCUCAGCACCUUUGGAGUCUUUGGAGGAUAGGCUGCUGGCUAUGGUCCAGGAGCCUCCACAGCACAUGCACCAUCGUGUGCCACAGGAGGAGGAUGAGAUGUUACAUUUUGCCCUCAGUCUGGUGCCCUUGCUGAACAAAUUAAGUGGCUGGGGUAAGCUGAGGGCAAAGAUUGCUCUUUUAGAAGGGCUCCAGGGUGUCCAUGAUCUGGACCAAGGGCACCAGCAGGCACAGAUGCAGGGCCCUGGUCUAAUUAGGCCAUGGGAUCAGACAUCCCAGCCAUCCCACCAGAGCCACCAGCCAUCCCACCAGAGCCGCCAGCCAUCCCACCAGAGCCGCCAACCCCAACUAUUAUAUGCACCACCCUCACAUGCACAGGCACAGAGGUACAGACCAAGUGAGGAGACUUGGGGGGAAUGUGGUGAGAGUACUGUGCCCUCACCCAUUCCUCACUACACAGACUUAUAGUGUAUUAAUAGUGCAAUAAAUUGUCUAUUUAAAUCAAUAUUUCCUUCGUGUUUCUCUGUAACUUGUCAACACCUAAGCCCAUGCAGUUUGUCUGAAAUUGAUGGAGUAAGUUAAGGCGGUGCAAUGCCCCCCUGGGCCUUGAGCCUCCAAAUAGAGGCCCAUUGAGGACCACCCUGCUCUCUCCCCAAAACCAUAAUAAUCAUUGCAAAAGCUUGUGUGUUGGCCUACCUCAGUGUAACCACAAGUCUUUGCUUGGGUUCGACUGCCAGUCUGUAAUUGGUGUCCUGUCGCUGGAGAUCUGCACCAAUCACUGACAGGAUGUGGUCCAUCUGCGUUGGUGUCAUACGAAAAUACGAUCGAUGGGUUGCAGCGUUAAAACGCAACUCCUCCGCCAGGUUGUAAAAUACCCCUUGCUGUCGCCUGCGCUGGUUGAUUGCAGUCACCCAGGUCCGUUUCCUCUUUUUAAUCCUUUGGAGGAUAACAAGUAAGGCAAGUGCCUUCCUCCUUUUCACUGUAGGCACUGUAAAACAACUCUCUUGUGGUUAGAUUGCACAUCUGUCAUCUAUGCUAGACUAUCUGCAACUAGCCUGUCUGUCAUUAACAAAUUAAUCAGUUAGUUAGUAUCACACAAACAUACGUUUAAAACAACUCUGUAGAGGUUAGAUUAUUCACAGCUUUUCAUCUAUGCUAAUAUGUCUGCAACUAGACUGUCUGCAAUACCGAAGUUUUACAUAACUUGCUAUAUAUCAAACCUACUUAGUCAGACUAAUAUUAUAUUGAUCUUUGACGUGGAAGCUGGUUACCCUAGCUAUUUCAUUUGCAACUAGUUCGUUUGUAUCAAAUUAGUUAGUUGGUCACUUACCAACGUAACUUUGUAUCAAUGGUUUAUGGUUUAUGUCCGUUGAUGGUUGCUUGGUAACUAUGUCUAGCUCAAAUUUAACCUUAUACGAAUGUAGUUUGAUUUACGGGUUGCUGUAGACUUAAUACUUACCCAUGUUACUCUGUUCCAGAUGAACUGGUGCCGAUGAACUGUGGUUUAUAAAAUAUAUAAACACAGAUCAAAAAAGAUAAAGGAGCCAUUUUUAACGCGUCCAGUGUAGCCGGUUAAUUUAAAAUUUCCGCUUGGUGAACGUUCUAUUUGCGCACGGCAGAAUUUCCGCGUCUGGUUUAGCCGUAGCGUCAGAGUUUGUUUUGGGAGAUCUGUAAGGAGACCAUUGCAGUAAUCAAGCUUACUAGUGAUUAAGGCAUGUACAAGUUUUUCUAAGUCUUCGGUGGACAUGAGCCCUCUAAGUCUUGCUACAUUUUUAAGGUGAUAAUAUGCCGAUUUUGUAACUGAUUUGAUAUGACUGUCGAAAUGUAAAUCUGAAUCCAUGAUAACCCCUAGAUUGCUGGCUUUGAUUGAGGUUUUCAGGGACAGAGAGUGAAGGUGUGGGUUACUUUAAGCCUUUCCAUUUUAGAGCCAAAUACAAUUAUCUCUGUUUUGUCCUCAUUUAGUUGAAGGAAAUUUCGGCACAUCCAUUCUUUCACUUGCUCAAUGCACUGGCACAGCAGAUCUAUGGGCCGAUAGUCAUUUGGUGAUAGCGAUUCAUAGAUUUGCGUGUCAUCAGCAUAGCAAUGAUGGUCAAUAUUGUUAUUUUGCAUGAUUUGCCCUAGUGGGAGCAUGUAGAUGUUGAAUAAAGAGGGUCCUAAGAUCGAACCUUGUGGGACUCCACAUGUCACGUUGGUUGAUUCUGAUACAAAGUCGCCAAUGGAAAAAAAAAAAGUACUUCCUAUUUUGUAGGUAGGACCUGAACCAAUUUAAGACUGUGCCGGAAAGCCCCACCCAGUUUUCUAACCUGUCCAGAAGUAAUGUAUGGUCUACAGUGUCGAAUGCAGCACUGAGGUCAAGUCGCAUUAGUAUUGAGGUUUUGCCAGAGUCUGUGUUAAGACGGAUGUUGUUUACAACUUUAAUAUUGGCGGUCAGUGCUGUGCAGUGGUCGAAAUCCUGAUUGGAAGGUAUCAUAGCAAGCAGUUGAUGCCAGGAAUUGAUUAAGUUGCUGGAGGACAACUUUCUCAAUGAUUGUACUCAUGAAGGGUAGAUUUGAUAUUGGUCUGUAGUUGUUAAUAAUAGAGGCAUCUAGGCUCCGCUUUUUUAAAAGGGGUUUAAUAACUGCAGUUUUCAAAGCUUUUGGGAAAUUGCCUGACUGGCGAGAGUUGUUAACUAUCUGCAAUAUGUCUACUGCUAGGCAGUCGGAAAACAUUCUCAAAGAGGUUGGUAGGUAAAGUAUCAAGGCAACAGGUGGAUGGCUUUAGUUGUGUCACAGUUUCCACAAGAUUUUGAGUCUAUAACAUUAAAGCAUGCCAUCCUUGUCUGAUGCCUUCAAUUUUAUCUGUAUAAAAAGCUGCAAACUCAUUGCAUUUCUGCGUAGAAUGGUGAUCAGGUGGAAUUUGUGUUGGGGGGGUUGG
Gadus chalcogrammus (walleye pollock) is the source of this 4168-nucleotide long non-coding RNA. RefSeq lists it as uncharacterized. Lineage: Eukaryota; Metazoa; Chordata; Actinopteri; Gadiformes; Gadidae. The transcript is spliced from 3 exons. The record is from RefSeq and is a predicted model, not a curated record.